RNAcentral lists this ribosomal RNA (253 nucleotides) under uncultured bacterium. RNAcentral describes it as "partial 16S ribosomal RNA". It matches the Rfam family "Bacterial small subunit ribosomal RNA", at positions 524 to 776 of the family's 1533-position model. The record is from RNAcentral.
UACGUAGGGUGCAAGCGUUAAUCGGAAUUACUGGGCGUAAAGCGUGCGCAGGCGGCUUUGCAAGUCAGAUGUGAAAUCCCCGGGCUUAACCUGGGAACUGCAUUUGUGACUGCAAGGCUAGAGUACGGUAGAGGGGGAUGGAAUUCCGCGUGUAGCAGUGAAAUGCGUAGAUAUGCGGAGGAACACCGAUGGCGAAGGCAAUCCCCUGGACCUGUACUGACGCUCAUGCACGAAAGCGUGGGGAGCAAACAGG